GUCGAACGAGCGAGAGAGAGCUUGCUUUCUCGAGCGAGUGGCGAACGGGUGAGUAACGCGUGAGGAACCUGCCUCAAAGAGGGGGACAACAGUUGGAAACGACUGCUAAUACCGCAUAAGCCCACGGCUCGGCAUCGAGCAGGGGGAAAAGGAGCAAUCCGCUUUGAGAUGGCCUCGCGUCCGAUUAGCUAGUUGGUGAGGUAAUGGCCCACCAAGGCGACGAUCGGUAGCCGGACUGAGAGGUUGAACGGCCACAUUGGGACUGAGACACGGCCCAGACUCCUACGGGAGGCAGCAGUGGGGAAUAUUGCACAAUGGGGGAAACCCUGAUGCAGCGACGCCGCGUGGAGGAAGAAGGUCUUCGGAUUGUAAACUCCUGUUGUUGGGGAAGAUAAUGACGGUACCCAACAAGGAAGUGACGGCUAACUACGUGCCAGCAGCCGCGGUAAAACGUAGGUCACAAGCGUUGUCCGAAAUUACUGGGUGUAAAGGGAGCGCAGGCGGGAAGACAAGUUGGAAGUGAAAUCUAUGGGCUCAACCCAUAAACUGCUUUCAAAACUGUUUUUCUUGAGUAGUGCAGAGGUAGGCGGAAUUCCCGGUGUAGCGGUGGAAUGCGUAGAUAUCGGGAGGAACACCAGUGGCGAAGGCGGCCUACUGGGCACCAACUGACGCUGAGGCUCGAAAGUGUGGGUA
This 693-nucleotide ribosomal RNA is filed under the name uncultured bacterium. RNAcentral describes it as "bacterial SSU rRNA". It matches the Rfam family "Bacterial small subunit ribosomal RNA", at positions 61 to 767 of the family's 1533-position model. The record is from RNAcentral.